Molecule: long non-coding RNA, 413 nt
Organism: Cervus elaphus (red deer)
Lineage: Eukaryota; Metazoa; Chordata; Mammalia; Artiodactyla; Cervidae
Exons: 3
Source: RefSeq, a predicted model, not a curated record
AGAGAUUUAAGAAUAAACUGCCUGGAAUGACACUGACAAAAAGUUAAGUAGGAGGACAAGGAAACCCUUCUAUUUUGAAUCCCUGGCUACAGGGGAGGAUCAACUUCACCAUCGCCCAGGGUCUGGCCCAGGAUAGGGCCCACGUGGUGGGCAGCAGCAGGAAACAGGAGAAGACAUGGAAAGACUAGAGCUUCAGCCUCCCUGACGGCUAAAUUGAAGCUAUGUCAUAAUUUCUGCCUGUGCCUGGCUUUCUUAAGAUUCCCCCAAGAACCUUGACUCACCCUCUCUCCUGUUGAUAUGACUGGAAGUAAAGAAUUCUGAAAUGAUGGAGUUGCCAGGUAGAAGCAGCCAGAUUCCUUGAGUUUCUACUUGAAGAACAGCUGCCCAGGAGGGACACAGAGCCUGCACUGGAC